CUAAGAAUAUUCCGCAAUGGACGAAAGUCUGACGGAGCGACGCCGCGUGGAUGAAGAAGGCCGAAAGGUUGUAAAAUCCUUUUGUUGGGGAAGAAUAACCAUGGGAGGGAAUGCCCGUGGGAUGACAUGAACCGACGAAUAAGUCCCGGCUAACUACGUGCCAGCAGCCGCGGUAACACGUAGGGGACAAGCGUUAUUCGGAAUUACUGGGCGUAAAGGGCAUGUAGGCGGCUUUGUAAGCCUGGCGUGAAAGUCCACAGCUCAACUGUGGGAUUGCGUCGGGAACUGCAGGGCUAGAGUCAUGGAGAGGAAGGUAGAAUUCCUGGUGUAGGGGUGAAAUCUGUAGAGAUCAGGAAGAAUACCAGUGGCGAAGGCGACCUUCUGGCCAAUGACUGACGCUGAGGUGCGAAAGUGUGGGGAUCAAACA
Molecule: ribosomal RNA, 427 nt
Filed under: uncultured prokaryote
Description: bacterial SSU rRNA
Rfam family: Bacterial small subunit ribosomal RNA
Source: RNAcentral